Sebastes umbrosus (honeycomb rockfish) is the source of this 1024-nucleotide long non-coding RNA. RefSeq lists it as uncharacterized. The transcript is spliced from 3 exons. The record is from RefSeq and is a predicted model, not a curated record. NCBI's taxonomy places the organism in Eukaryota, Metazoa, Chordata, Actinopteri, Perciformes, Sebastidae.
GUCAUGAAAUAGUAUAUUAUGGUACACUCAUCAUGAUAAAUCACGGCUCAGCUUUUGGCGUAAUGCAGCGUCUUCCGGUGAGAUGCUGCGUUGAACAUUCAUUCAAACGCACAUCCCUGGUAGGUUACUCUUUUUUCAGUAAAAGACACCUGAUGUCAGAAGUGGGAUUCGAACCCACGCCUCCAGAGGAGACUGCGACCUGAACGCAGCGCCUUAGACCGCUCGGCCAUCCUGACUGAAAAAGUGCCAUGUUUGAUUGAAUUUUUUUUUAGAUAUCAUGAUACAGCACAUUAAAUAUGUCAUGAAAUAGUAUAUUAUGGUACACUCUUCCAUGAUAUAUCAUGGCUCAACUUUUGGCAUAAUGCAGCGUCAUCCGGUGAGGUACUGUGUUGAACAUUCAUGCAAUCGCACAUCCCUGGUAGAUCACUUUGUAACAUCAAGGCCAUAUUUAUACUGUUUACUUCGCAACCAUUGUGACGAAACAUGAAAUAGUUGCUGCCGUAAUAAAGUUCCAGGGUUGUAAAAUCCUGUCUGUGAGUAUUAGAAACUGUUGUGGAGGUGUUUUGUCAUCUGAUAAACCUUUCAAAGCAUAAAUCUGUUACUCCAACAUGAUGUCUUGGAUCAGAUAUCAUGCCGUUGCUCUCACCAACACAGCCUCCUGUGUUGUUUUUAAACAGAAAUGGUGAUUGGACACUGGCCCCACCGGCAUCCGACGUCGGAAAGCUGCGGGAGGAGAUGGUUUCUGAAGCUAGUCGACAGUCCGACCAGAACUUCUGAUGCAGUAUACUUGUCCCUUAAUGAUGAGCACUGUAGACUCUAACUGCAACAAACUGGGUUCAAAUCUCAUUGAACCCUCAUUUUUAUGAUCAGGUCCCACCGAGAUUUGAACUCGGAUCGCUGGAUUCAGAGUCCAGAGUGCGCUUCAUCACACCAUGGAACCACUGCAACGUUGACACCCUACACAGUAAAAGACACCUGAUGUCAGAAGUGGGAUUCGAACCCACGCCUCCAGAGGAGACUGCGA